UGAAUUUUUCCAUAGCAUCAG
Molecule: microRNA, 21 nt
Filed under: Aegilops tauschii
Lineage: Eukaryota; Viridiplantae; Streptophyta; Magnoliopsida; Poales; Poaceae
Description: ata-miR9674c-5p
Source: miRBase by way of RNAcentral